Molecule: ribosomal RNA, 415 nt
Filed under: uncultured Pseudomonas sp.
Lineage: Bacteria; Pseudomonadati; Pseudomonadota; Gammaproteobacteria; Pseudomonadales; Pseudomonadaceae
Description: bacterial SSU rRNA
Rfam family: Bacterial small subunit ribosomal RNA
Source: RNAcentral
UGAGUAAUGCCUAGGAAUCUGCCUGGUAGUGGGGGACAACGUCUCGAAAGGGACGCUAAUACCGCAUACGUCCUACGGGAGAAAGCAGGGGACCUUCGGGCCUUGCGCUAUCAGAUGAGCCUAGGUCGGAUUAGCUAGUUGGUGAGGUAAUGGCUCACCAAGGCGACGAUCCGUAACUGGUCUGAGAGGAUGAUCAGUCACACUGGAACUGAGACACGGUCCAGACUCCUACGGGAGGCAGCAGUGGGGAAUAUUGGACAAUGGGCGAAAGCCUGAUCCAGCCAUGCCGCGUGUGUGAAGAAGGUCUUCGGAUUGUAAAGCACUUUAAGUUGGGAGGAAGGGCAGUAACUUAAUACGUUGCUGUUUUGACGUUACCGACAGAAUAAGCACCGGCUAACUCUGUGCCAGCAGCCGC